This 2800-nucleotide long non-coding RNA is filed under the name Homo sapiens (human). Its description in RNAcentral is "HSALNT0337526". The record is from RNAcentral. Lineage: Eukaryota; Metazoa; Chordata; Mammalia; Primates; Hominidae.
AGUGUAUUUUUGAGGUCCCUAUGCAAUGGCGACGGUGCCGUGAAGGGCAACUCAGCAAAAUAAAGCGGUGAUACAUUUUUUAACCGAUUUUUUUCUCAGAGGAGAAAAAUCUGAACAAUUUGGCCUAAGUUUCACUUUGUCCUUCUCUUAGGUUGAUCUCAUUUAAAUUCAGGGCCUACUUCCACUUAAGCAACUUCUUCUUUCAUUGUAUAGGUUCUUUAAUAUCCAACCUUUUUAAACUUAACUUGAAGCCUUUAAUUUAAAAAACUGUCCCAAUCAUCAUUUUCUUUUCAAUGUAUGCAGUUGCAUUUUAAACAUCCAUUUAACACACAAAAUGUGAUUUUUGAAAUUUUUUUCACUUUCAAACCCACCUGCUACAUACUCCCAGAGAGCGUUUUAUUUAAUUGCUUAAUAGAGAAGAUUAAGCAGUUUCUUUAAGAAUCCAAUUUCCCUUCAACAAGCACAACAGCAGCUGCCCAAGCUCCCAGAAACUAAGCAAAGGCAAGUAGCAGGCAGCGUUUUGCUUCACUAGAAUGAAUGUUAGUUGAAACCUUAAAUACCUCUUUAAAAGACUAGAUUAAAGAGAAUAAUGGGAAUAUUAAGAUACUCCGGUAGUUAGUUAAAAUAUUUUUUAAGGAAAACCAGGCAGAUAUACAUCUAUUUUGAUGAUUUGAUCCCACCUUCAAAGAGGAUCCCUGAAAAGAGUUUUAGUCACAAUUUGACAAAUUUUAAAUAAUUACUUUGUUUCAGAGUCAUGAGGAUGGAAAGAAGAUAGCCUGCGUUGAGUUGAAGUAAAGUAAAAAUAUUAUGAAUAUGUGUAACUAGGUGACAUCCUCUCUGCUGGGAAGAAUCCUUUUUUUUUUUUUUUUUUUUUUUCUGGUGACAGGUUCUUGCUCCAUCACCCAGGCUGGAGUGCAGUGGCAUGAUCUUGGCUCACUGCAGCCUCUCCCUUUCAGGCUCAAGCAAUCCUCCCACCUCAGCCUCCCGAGUGGAGGGGGAGCCACUGCAGAUCUGGAGCAAAUCAGCACCAGCCACUCCAGAGCCUGACCUACAUAGGACUCAGAAAGCAUUGUCUAUUGUGAUUGAUUAUUCCUGUGUUCAGUCCCAAUGGCCUAUUGAUUGGGGGUUUCUCUCCAAAAGGCUGCAUGGCUUUUCUUCUCUAAGUGAAUCUCCUUUAUAACCCAUAUUUUAUGUCUAUAUACCAAACAUGCUAUCCAUAUUUAGUCAAUGUCCAGUUGCUUGCAUGUAAGGGCAAUAGAGUAAUCAGAAAACUCUUCCCAGAAAGCCCCCGAAGACAAAACUAGUACUGGUAGAAAACUGGGCAUGCAGCUCUAAGAAACUCUAUGGGAAGUGAGGCUGGGUGGGGCACAGCUGCCCCAGCCUGGCACCCAUAUGGAGCAUCAGCAAGGAAGUAGGAACUUUCUUUUCAUCAUGCAUCCUUCUUAUCACUUCUCAGUUUCAAAGGGAAAGAAAAUUUGGUAAUCUGCAUUUUGAGACAUUAAGAAAAUAAAAUAAUUAAUGGCUUCAUGGUUAUAUGGCAUUUUUCAGAGUAUUGUCAGAAAAUCAUUUCGAACUGAAAUUUUCAUUCAAAAAUAUUUAUUGAAUGCCGGCUAUGUGCUGAAGAUUCUUAAGAUACAUCAGUGAACAAAUCAAAGUUCCCUGCUUUCUUGGAGCUUGCAUUCCAGCGGGAGGAGAGGAUUUGGAGGAAGAAUGGGAUAGACAAUAAAUGUAAGUAAUAAAUUAUAUAGGACUUUGAAAGGUAAAAUGUUUGGGGGAAAAACAUAAAAUAGGGUAAAGGAUAUAGGUGGGGUGAGGGUUGUCCUGAUGCUGUAUUAAAUAGGAACAUCAGAGUAAGACUUGUUGAAAAGGGAGAUUUCUGCCAUGGUUUGAAGGAAAUACCUGGAGAUAUCUGGAGGACAGAGCUUUUCACAUGGAGGGAACAGCCAAGAUACAGCUCCAAUACCUGGAAUUUUUAUAGACAUCAAUGGGAAUGGUGUGGCUAGAAUAAAAUGAGACAGCCAGUGAACAGAAGGCCUCUCAGGUCACCGUAAGAAUUCCAGAAAAGCUUCAUAAAAGGCAAAUUUUGGGCCUUUAUCACUCAGCCCCAUGGAAUCUGAAUCUUUGUGGGCCCAGGACUCUGCAUUUUUAACAUGUAAAGCAAUUGUUACUUAUGUAUUCUAAAGCACAAGACCUCCUGCCACAGAGCAUGGGACCUGAUAUAUCCAGGCAGGAGAACUGGGUACCAGGAGACACUGUACAUGAAGUUUCCAGAACCAGCCAUGUCCAUCUUACUAAUCAAGACUCUCUCUGUUAAAUCUGCAACUCAAAUGACUUUAAGGAAAAAUGGAUUUCAUUGAUUCACAUAACCAUCACUCAAGGACUAACUUUCAACAUAGUGAGAUCCUGAGGCUCAAAUAUUAUUACCCGAAACAACCUUCAGUACAUAAGUAAUGGCUGCUGGAUGUAACUUGCAAUUGGGUGGCAGGUCGGCAAGGAAAGAAUUCCAAACAGAGGACUUUCUGAAAGCCUAAUUAUACAUAUUGAAUGUAACAAAAGGAAAAUAGUUUUUAAGGGUUCCAUGAACUGCUUCCUCUGACAUGAGAUCUAACAAGGCUAAAGACUAAAAUGCAGCUGUUUACAGCGUAAGUAGGAGGCCGUCCCGUGCAGUGCAAAAUCAACAGAGAGGAGACAGUCCUAUGCCUUCGAGAGACAGUCUGCUGAUACUGUCAUGAUGUCUAGUGACAGGCCAGAGAUCAAAACCCAACACCCUCAUUUACCUGACAGUGAUUUGGCCAAUCCC